UAGUGAAUUUUUGGGCUUUAGUG
RNAcentral lists this non-coding RNA (23 nucleotides) under Arabidopsis thaliana (thale cress). The record is from RNAcentral. Lineage: Eukaryota; Viridiplantae; Streptophyta; Magnoliopsida; Brassicales; Brassicaceae.